Non-coding RNA from Obba rivulosa, 93 nucleotides. NCBI's taxonomy places the organism in Eukaryota, Fungi, Basidiomycota, Agaricomycetes, Polyporales, Gelatoporiaceae. The record is from the annotation of a GenBank genome assembly.
GCCCGCCUAGCUCAAUCGGAUAGAGCGUCAGACUCUUACCGUCUGAAAGCGGGUGUAAUCUGAAGGCUGCGAGUUCGACCCUCGCGGUGGGCU